GGGUAUAGCUCAGUGGUAGAGUGCUUACUUAGCCUACAUGAGGUACUGGGUUCAAUCCCCAGUACCUCCA
RNAcentral lists this transfer RNA (70 nucleotides) under Camelus bactrianus (Bactrian camel). It matches the Rfam family "tRNA". From Rfam's summary of the family: Transfer RNA (tRNA) molecules are approximately 80 nucleotides in length. Their secondary structure includes four short double-helical elements and three loops (D, anti-codon, and T loops). RNAcentral also lists the same sequence under 2 other names. Lineage: Eukaryota; Metazoa; Chordata; Mammalia; Artiodactyla; Camelidae. The record is from Rfam by way of RNAcentral.